AUCCAGCUGAAGAGUCCCAAAUAGGACGAAACGCGUGUCCUGGAC
Schistosoma mansoni is the source of this 45-nucleotide non-coding RNA. The record is from Rfam. Lineage: Eukaryota; Metazoa; Platyhelminthes; Trematoda; Strigeidida; Schistosomatidae.